AACGAACGCUGGCGGCGCGCCUAACACAUGCAAGUCGAACGAGAAGGCGUAGCAAUACGCUUGUAGAGUGGCGAACGGGUGAGUAAUACGUGGGUGACCUACCCUCGAGUGGGGAAUAACCCGCCGAAGGCGGGCUAAUGCCGCGUACGCUUCCGUCCUCACGGGGACGGAAGGAAAGCUGUACCGUGGGUACGGCGCUCAAGGAUGGGCUCACGUCCUAUCAGCUUGUUGGUAGGGUAACGGCCACCAAGGCUACGACGGGUAGCUGGUCUGAGAGGACGAUCAGCCACACUGGCACUGCGACACGGGCCAGACUCCUACGGGAGGCAGCAGUGAGGAAUAUUGCGCAAUGGGCGAAAGCCUGACGCAGCGACGCCGCGU
This 381-nucleotide ribosomal RNA is filed under the name uncultured bacterium. RNAcentral describes it as "bacterial SSU rRNA". It matches the Rfam family "Bacterial small subunit ribosomal RNA", at positions 29 to 402 of the family's 1533-position model. The record is from RNAcentral.